GUUACGGAGAGUGCCAAUCAUGCCAGGGAUCACUUGAAGACUGAGGUAGAUUUGAAGCAAUGUGACUGGUGGUGUGUGUGGGAGAGGACGGGAUGUUCAGCGAGGUUGUCCAUGGCCUGGUGUCUAGGACCCAGAGUGAUUCCAGAGUGGACCAGAACCAACCAAACCAGGACCUGGUUCCAUGUGCGCUCCACAUCGAAAUCAUCCCUGUAGGUUCGACUGACUGUAUCUGCUAUGCUACAACAGGCACCAACGAUCCAGUGACUUCAGCCCUGCACAUCAUCAUGGGUAAGUAG
This is a long non-coding RNA of Coregonus clupeaformis (lake whitefish), 296 nucleotides long. RefSeq lists it as uncharacterized. The transcript has 3 exons. The record is from RefSeq and is a predicted model, not a curated record. Lineage: Eukaryota; Metazoa; Chordata; Actinopteri; Salmoniformes; Salmonidae.